This 496-nucleotide ribosomal RNA is filed under the name uncultured bacterium. RNAcentral describes it as "partial 16S ribosomal RNA". It matches the Rfam family "Bacterial small subunit ribosomal RNA", at positions 28 to 506 of the family's 1533-position model. The record is from RNAcentral.
GAUGAACGCUGGCGGCGUGCCUAAUACAUGCAAGUCGAGCGAACAGAUGAGGAGCUUGCUCCUCUGACGUUAGCGGCGGACGGGUGAGUAACACGUGGAUAACCUACCUAUAAGACUGGGAUAACUUCGGGAAACCGGAGCUAAUACCGGAUAAUAUAUUGAACCGCAUGGUUCAAUAGUGAAAGACGGUUUUGCUGUCACUUAUAGAUGGAUCCGCGCCGCAUUAGCUAGUUGGUAAGGUAACGGCUUACCAAGGCAACGAUGCGUAGCCGACCUGAGAGGGGGAUCGGCCACACUGGAACUGAGACACGGCCCAGACUCCUACGGGAGGCAGCAGUAGGGAAUCUUCCGCAAUGGGCGAAAGCCUGACGGAGCAACGCCGCGUGAGUGAUGAAGGUCUUCGGAUCGUAAAACGCUGUUAUUAGGGAAGAACAAAUGUGUAAGUAACUAUGCACGUCUUGACGGUACCUAAUCAGAAAGCCACGGCUAACUACGU